Molecule: ribosomal RNA, 509 nt
Filed under: Aeromachus plumbeolus
Lineage: Eukaryota; Metazoa; Arthropoda; Insecta; Lepidoptera; Hesperiidae
Description: partial 16S ribosomal RNA
Rfam family: Bacterial large subunit ribosomal RNA (bases 383-509)
Source: RNAcentral
GUUUUUUUGAUUAUAAUUUAAAGUUUAAUUUGCCCCCUGAUUUAUUAAAGGGCUGCAGUAAAUUGACUGUACAAAGGUAGCAUAAUCAUUAGUCUUUUAAUUGGAGACUUGUAUGAAGGAUUUGAUGAAAUAUAAACUGUCUCUUUAUUAUAGUUAAAAUUUAAUUUUUUAGUAAAAAAGCUAAAAUUUUUUUAAAAGACGAGAAGACCCUAUAGAGUUUUAUAAUUAAAUUAAUUAAAAAUUAUUAUUAAUAUUUUAUAUAAAUUAGUUUAAUUAUUUUAUUGGGGUGAUAAAAAAAUUUAAUAAACUUUUUUUAUAUUAAUACAUUAAUUAAUGAUUAAAUGAUCCAUAAAUUAUGAUUAAAAGAAAAAAUUACCUUAGGGAUAACAGCGUAAUUUUUUUUUUUAGUACAAAUAAAAAAAAAAGUUUGCGACCUCGAUGUUGGAUUAAAAUACAAUUUAAAUGUAAAAGUUUAAAAUUUUGAUCUGUUCGAUCAUUAAAAUCUUACA